UGGGGAAUUUUGGACAAUGGGGGCAACCCUGAUCCAGCCAUUCCGCGUGAGUGAAGAAGGCCUUCGGGUUGUAAAGCUCUUUCGGCAGGAACGAAACGGUCUCACCUAAUACGUGGGGCUAAUGACGGUACCUGAAGAAGAAGCACCGGCUAACUACGUGCCAGCAGCCGCGGUAAUACGUAGGGUGCGAGCGUUAAUCGGAAUUACUGGGCGUAAAGCGUGCGCAGGCGGUUAUGUAAGACAGGUGUGAAAUCCCCGGGCUUAACCUGGGAACUGCGCUUGUGACUGCAUAACUUGAGUGUGGCAGAGGGGGGUGGAAUUCCACGUGUAGCAGUGAAAUGCGUAGAGAUGUGGAGGAACACCGAUGGCGAAGGCAGCCCCCUGGGUCAACACUGACGCUCAUGCACGAAAGCGUGGGGAGCAAACAGGAUUAGAUACCCCAGUAGUCCCUGAGCGGGCUGGCAAGGCGCAU
RNAcentral lists this ribosomal RNA (472 nucleotides) under uncultured bacterium. Its description in RNAcentral is "bacterial SSU rRNA". It matches the Rfam family "Bacterial small subunit ribosomal RNA", at positions 355 to 825 of the family's 1533-position model. The record is from RNAcentral.